GGGCGCACGGUGGAUGCCUUGACACUAGGAGUCGAUGAAGGACGGGACUAACGCCGAUAUGCUUCGGGGAGCUGUAAGUAAGCUUUGAUCCGAAGAUUUCCGAAUGGGGAAACCCACCAUACGUAAUGGUAUGGUAUCCUUAUCUGAAUACAUAGGAUAAGGAAGACAGACCCAGGGAACUGAAACAUCUAAGUACCUGGAGGAAGAGAAAGCAAAUGCGAUUUCCUGAGUAGCGGCGAGCGAAACGGAACAUAGCCCAAACCAAGAGGCUUGCCUCUUGGGGUUGUAGGACAUUCUAUACGGAGUUACAAAGGAACGAGGUAGACGAAGCGACCUGGAAAGGUCCGUCGUAGAGGGUAACAACCCCGUAGUCGAAACUUCGUUCUCUCUUGAAUGUAUCCUGAGUACGGCGGAACACGUGAAAUUCCGUCGGAAUCUGGGAGGACCAUCUCCCAAGGCUAAAUACUCCCUAGUGAUCGAUAGUGAACCAGUACCGUGAGGGAAAGGUGAAAAGCACCCCGGAAGGGGAGUGAAAGAGAUCCUGAAACCGUGUGCCUACAAAUAGUCAGAGCCCGUUAACGGGUGAUGGCGUGCCUUUUGUAGAAUGAACCGGCGAGUUACGAUCCCGUGCGAGGUUAAGCUGAAGAGGCGGAGCCGCAGCGAAAGCGAGUCUGAAUAGGGCGUUUAGUACGUGGUCGUAGACCCGAAACCAGGUGAUCUACCCAUGUCCAGGGUGAAGUUCAGGUAACACUGAAUGGAGGCCCGAACCCACGCACGUUGAAAAGUGCGGGGAUGAGGUGUGGGUAGCGGAGAAAUUCCAAUCGAACCUGGAGAUAGCUGGUUCUCCCCGAAAUAGCUUUAGGGCUAGCCUUAAGUGUAAGAGUCUUGGAGGUAGAGCACUGAUUGGACUAGGGGUCCUCAUCGGAUUACCGAAUUCAGUCAAACUCCGAAUGCCAAUGACUUAUCCUUAGGAGUCAGACUGCGAGUGAUAAGAUCCGUAGUCAAAAGGGAAACAGCCCAGACCGCCAGCUAAGGUCCCAAAGUGUGUAUUAAGUGGAAAAGGAUGUGGAGUUGCUUAGACAACUAGGAUGUUGGCUUAGAAGCAGCCACCAUUUAAAGAGUGCGUAAUAGCUCACUAGUCGAGUGACUCUGCGCCGAAAAUGUACCGGGGCUAAAUACACCACCGAAGCUGCGGAUUGAUACCAAUGGUAUCAGUGGUAGGGGAGCGUUCUAAGGACAGUGAAGUCAGACCGGAAGGACUGGUGGAGUGCUUAGAAGUGAGAAUGCCGGUAUGAGUAGCGAAAGACGGGUGAGAAUCCCGUCCACCGAAUGCCUAAGGUUUCCUGAGGAAGGCUCGUCCGCUCAGGGUUAGUCAGGACCUAAGCCGAGGCCGACAGGCGUAGGCGAUGGACAACAGGUUGAUAUUCCUGUACCACCUCUUUAUCGUUUGAGCAAUGGAGGGACGCAGAAGGAUAGAAGAAGCGUGCGAUUGGUUGUGCACGUCCAAGCAGUUAGGCUGAUAAGUAGGCAAAUCCGCUUAUCGUGAAGGCUGAGCUGUGAUGGGGAAGCUCCUUAUGGAGCGAAGUCUUUGAUUCCCCGCUGCCAAGAAAAGCUUCUAGCGAGAUAAAAGGUGCCUGUACCGCAAACCGACACAGGUAGGCGAGGAGAGAAUCCUAAGGUGUGCGAGAGAACUCUGGUUAAGGAACUCGGCAAAAUGACCCCGUAACUUCGGGAGAAGGGGUGCUUUCUUAACGGAAAGCCGCAGUGAAUAGGCCCAAGCGACUGUUUAGCAAAAACACAGCUCUCUGCGAAGCCGUAAGGCGAAGUAUAGGGGGUGACACCUGCCCGGUGCUGGAAGGUUAAGGAGAGGGGUUAGCGUAAGCGAAGCUCUGAACUGAAGCCCCAGUAAACGGCGGCCGUAACUAUAACGGUCCUAAGGUAGCGAAAUUCCUUGUCGGGUAAGUUCCGACCCGCACGAAAGGUGUAACGAUUUGGGCACUGUCUCAACCAGAGACUCGGUGAAAUUAUAGUACCUGUGAAGAUGCAGGUUACCCGCGACAGGACGGAAAGACCCCGUGGAGCUUUACUGUAGCCUGAUAUUGAAUUUUGGUACAGUUUGUACAGGAUAGGCGGGAGCCUUUGAAACCGGAGCGCUAGCUUCGGUGGAGGCGCUGGUGGGAUACCGCCCUGACUGUAUUGAAAUUCUAACCUACGGGUCUUAUCGACCCGGGAGACAGUGUCAGGUGGGCAGUUUGACUGGGGCGGUCGCCUCCUAAAGUGUAACGGAGGCGCCCAAAGGUUCCCUCAGAAUGGUUGGAAAUCAUUCGUAGAGUGCAAAGGCAUAAGGGAGCUUGACUGCGAGACCUACAAGUCGAGCAGGGACGAAAGUCGGGCUUAGUGAUCCGGUGGUUCCGCAUGGAAGGGCCAUCGCUCAACGGAUAAAAGCUACCCCGGGGAUAACAGGCUUAUCUCCCCCAAGAGUCCACAUCGACGGGGAGGUUUGGCACCUCGAUGUCGGCUCAUCGCAUCCUGGGGCUGUAGUCGGUCCCAAGGGUUGGGCUGUUCGCCCAUUAAAGCGGUACGCGAGCUGGGUUCAGAACGUCGUGAGACAGUUCGGUCCCUAUCCGUCGUGGGCGUAGGAAAUUUGAGAGGAGCUGUCCUUAGUACGAGAGGACCGGGAUGGACGCACCGCUGGUGUACCAGUUGUUCUGCCAAGGGCAUAGCUGGGUAGCUAUGUGCGGAAGGGAUAAGUGCUGAAAGCAUCUAAGCAUGAAGCCCCCCUCCAAGAUGAGAUUUCCCAUAGCGUAAGCUAGUAAGAUCCCUGAAAGAUGAUCAGGUUGAUAGGUUCGAGGUGGAAGCAUGGUGACAUGUGGAGCUGACGAAUACUAAUAGAUCGAGGACUUAACCAU
Molecule: ribosomal RNA, 2909 nt
Filed under: Bacillus anthracis str. SVA11
Lineage: Bacteria; Bacillati; Bacillota; Bacilli; Caryophanales; Bacillaceae
Description: bacterial LSU rRNA
Rfam family: Bacterial large subunit ribosomal RNA
Source: RNAcentral